UACGUAGGGACCGAGCGUUGUCCGGAUUUAUUGGGCGUAAAGAGCUCGUAGGCGGUUCGGUAAGUCGGGUGUGAAAACUCUGGGCUCAACCCAGAGCCGCCACCCGAUACUGCUGUGACUCGAGUGCGGUAGGGGAGCGGGGAAUUCCUGGUGUAGCGGUGAAAUGCGCAGAUAUCAGGAAGAACACCUAUGGCGAAGGCAGCACUCUGGGACGGUACUGACGCUGAGACGCGAAAGCGUGGGGAGCGAACAGG
This 254-nucleotide ribosomal RNA is filed under the name uncultured bacterium. RNAcentral describes it as "partial 16S ribosomal RNA". It matches the Rfam family "Bacterial small subunit ribosomal RNA", at positions 524 to 776 of the family's 1533-position model. The record is from RNAcentral.